This 93-nucleotide non-coding RNA is filed under the name chicken gut metagenome. Its description in RNAcentral is "TPP riboswitch (THI element)". It matches the Rfam family "TPP riboswitch aptamer (THI element)", at positions 9 to 90 of the family's 105-position model. From Rfam's summary of the family: Vitamin B(1) in its active form thiamin pyrophosphate (TPP) is an essential coenzyme that is synthesised by coupling of pyrimidine and thiazole moieties in bacteria. The record is from RNAcentral.
CCGAGGGGCGCUGGCGCAUGCCGGCUGAGAGGGAGCGUAUCGCCGCUCCGACCCUAGAACCUGAUCCGGGUAAUGCCGGCGAAGGGACGCGAG